GACGAACGCUGGCGGCGUGCUUAACACAUGCAAGUCGAACGGAAAGGCCCUGCUUUUGUGGGGUGCUCGAGUGGCGAACGGGUGAGUAACACGUGAGUAACCUGCCCUUGACUUUGGGAUAACUUCAGGAAACUGGGGCUAAUACCGGAUAGGAGCUCCUGCUGCAUGGUGGGGGUUGGAAAGUUUCGGCGGUUGGGGAUGGACUCGCGGCUUAUCAGCUUGUUGGUGGGGUAGUGGCUUACCAAGGCUUUGACGGGUAGCCGGCCUGAGAGGGUGACCGGCAACAUGGGACGUGGGAUCCGGCCAGACUCCUACGGGAGGCAGCAGUGGGGAAUAUUGCACAAUGGGCGGAAGCCUGAUGCAGCAACGCCGCGUGCGGGAUGACGGCCUUCGGGUUGUAAACCGCUUUCGCCUGUGACGAAGCGUGAGUGACGGUAAUGGGUAAAGAAGCACCGGCUAACUACGUG
RNAcentral lists this ribosomal RNA (467 nucleotides) under uncultured bacterium. Its description in RNAcentral is "partial 16S ribosomal RNA". It matches the Rfam family "Bacterial small subunit ribosomal RNA", at positions 28 to 507 of the family's 1533-position model. The record is from RNAcentral.